Molecule: small RNA, 478 nt
Filed under: Pongo abelii (Sumatran orangutan)
Lineage: Eukaryota; Metazoa; Chordata; Mammalia; Primates; Hominidae
Description: processed transcript
Source: RNAcentral
CGGUGAGAAGAGCGAGGCGGAGGAGGGGGUGCCAUGGCCGGGCAGCAGUUCCAGUACGAUGACAGCGGGAACACCUUCUUCUACUUCCUCACCUCCUUCGUGGGGCUCAUCGUGAUCCCGGCGACAUACUACCUCUGGCCCCGAGAUCAGAAUGCCGCGGGGAGAGUCUCAUUUGACCAGGCUGGUCUUGAACUCGCUUCAAGUCAUCCUCCCGCUUCGGCCCCCUGAGUAGCUGGGCUUAUAGACUUGAGCCACUGUGUCAGGAUGGAUUUUUGAAAUUUGAAAGUCAUAUUUUCAUGCCCAGUUGCAGUAUCUUGAAUAUGAAAGAGAAAUCUUGAAUUACUGCCUCAUUCAAAGCUCUGAAUAAGGAACUUUUUUCAGAAGUUUGCUGCAAAAUAAUUUGCCGACUUGUACAGGAGGCUACUGAAUAAUCUUUAUCUCACUUAGGAAAUAGUUAUGUUCUGUCUUGGAAUAUUAA